Molecule: ribosomal RNA, 229 nt
Filed under: uncultured bacterium
Lineage: Bacteria
Description: partial 16S ribosomal RNA
Rfam family: Bacterial small subunit ribosomal RNA
Source: RNAcentral
UACGUAGGCGGAAAAUUAAGUCAGUAGUGAAAUCCUGCAGCUUAACUGUAGAACUGUUAUUGAUACUGGUUUUCUUGAAUAUAGUUGAGGUAGGCGGAAUGUGUAAUGUAGCGGUGAAAUGCUUAGAUAUUACACAGAACACCGAUUGCGAAGGCAGCUUACUAAGCUAUGAUUGACGCUGUGGUACGAAAGCGUGGGGAGCGAACAGGAUUAGAUACCCUGGUAGUCC